Molecule: ribosomal RNA, 492 nt
Filed under: uncultured bacterium
Lineage: Bacteria
Description: partial 16S ribosomal RNA
Rfam family: Bacterial small subunit ribosomal RNA
Source: RNAcentral
AGUGAACGCUGGCGGUAGGCCUAACACAUGCAAGUCGAACGGCAGCACAGUAAGAGCUUGCUCUUACGGGUGGCGAGUGGCGGACGGGUGAUGAAUACAUCGGAAUCUACUUUUUCGUGGGGGAUAACGUAGGGAAACUUACGCUAAUACCGCAUACGACCUACGGGUGAAAGCAGGGGAUCUUCGGACCUUGCGCGAUUGAAUGAGCCGAUGUCGGAUUAGCUAGUUGGCGGGGUAAAGGCCCACCAAGGCGACGAUCCGUAGCUGGUCUGAGAGGAUGAUCAGCCACACUGGAACUGAGACACGGUCCAGACUCCUACGGGAGGCAGCAGUGGGGAAUAUUGGACAAUGGGCGCAAGCCUGAUCCAGCCAUACCGCGUGGGUGAAGAAGGCCUUCGGGUUGUAAAGCCCUUUUGUUGGGAAAGAAAAGCAGCAGGUUAAUACCCCGCUGUUCUGACGGUACCAAAAGAAUGAGCACCGGCUAACUUCGUG